UACCUUCUGCCUCACUCACGUGAGCCCCCCCCGUUUUCUGCUUCCUCGCCGCCGUUCGUGGGUUCCGCUGGCCAGAUCCCGCCGGUCAGACAUGCUUUCAGUCUGCCCAGAUACGAGCCGCCGCACGUCCGCCGCUCUCAGUCCACCUAGAUUCAAGCCGCCGCACGUCCGCCGCUUUCAGUUCAUCUAGAUUCGAGCCGCCACACGUCCGCCGUACUCUGCCGCCCAGAUCCGAGCCGAGUCUCUCCUCCGCUACCCACCGCAUCACUUCCGGCUGCUUCCAGUGCCGCCAGCCCUGUUCGUCGCCAGGACCUGCCUACACCACUAGACUUUUGCUUUGAAUCCAAGAUUGGAGUACUUCGGAGUGCACAGCGUGCUGUUUAGCGGAUUCGAGUUCAUUCGACAAGUAUUUUUGUUUCUUGAAGGUUCCAAGUCGUCGUCCUUUGGGUUCUAAAAUCUGCUAAGAGGAAAUUUUGAGUCGAAAUCUCGCGAGUGUUGGUUGAUCAAGUUUCGUUGGGGGACUUAGUUCAGGGGUUUUUGGUUGGAGAUCAUUAGCUUGGAUUAAAAAUUGGAAUUGGAUUUUGAGGUAAGGGUAGAGAUGCACCGGCAAUGGCGCAGCAGAAUUCAUGAUUGAGCCACUGGGACUAGUUUUUUUUACGCUUUCGCAUCAUGAGAUUUAGAGUUCUUUUCAUGUUUCCCUUAA
Molecule: long non-coding RNA, 703 nt
Organism: Benincasa hispida (wax gourd)
Lineage: Eukaryota; Viridiplantae; Streptophyta; Magnoliopsida; Cucurbitales; Cucurbitaceae
Source: RefSeq, a predicted model, not a curated record